This 3035-nucleotide long non-coding RNA is filed under the name Sus scrofa (pig). RNAcentral describes it as "lncRNA (ENSSSCG00000048959.1)". The record is from RNAcentral. Lineage: Eukaryota; Metazoa; Chordata; Mammalia; Artiodactyla; Suidae.
GAUUUCAUUCUUUUUUUAUGGCUGAGUAAUAUUCCAUUGUAUGUCUAUGUUUUCUCUCUAUAACAUCAUCUUCAUCCACUCCUCUGCUAAUGGGUGUUUAGGUUGCUUCCAUGGCUUGGCUAUUGUAUUCAGGGCUGCUGUGCAUGUGGGAGCAUGUGUAUCUAUUGGAAUUAAUAUUUUCGUCUUUUCCAGGUACAUGCUCAGGAAUGCGAUUGCUAGCUGAGAGUGAUUUACAGUGUUCUAUCAGCUACAGGUGUACAAUAUUGCGAUACAGUGUUUUUAUAAAUGAUGCCCCAUUUAAGGUUAUUGUAAAAUCUCCAGAGUUCCCUGGUGGUGCACUGGGUCAAGGAUCUGGUGCUGUCACUGCAGUGGCUCAGGUUGCUGCCAUGGUGCAGGUUCGAUCCUUGGCAUGGGAACUUCCACAUGCUAUGGGUGCACCAAAAACAAAUAACUAAAAAUCUCGAAGUUAUUUUCCAACAGCAUGAAGUGACUCCUGACCCUGGCCAUGGCAGAAGCAGCCGGUGGUAGCCUUGUUCUUUAACAGGUUACAGCCAGAAAUGCUGGGUGAGACAUGGAAGGCGGUGGUCUGAGACCUCUGCAUCGGGUGGACAGUCAGGACUUAAAGCAAUGACACCACCAGGUUGAAGAGAGUCUCCCCCAAAUCUGUGUCCCUGGAAUCUCAGAAGAUGACCUGUCUUUGUGAAUGUCACAGGAGCCUCUCAGCCUUGGUCCCAUUUAUGGAAGAACAAAUCCAAGAGCCGUUUUCUUUGCACCUUCCUGAUGUUCAAGCACAAUGUUGCAGUGACUUUGUGUGUCAUGACACAUCGGCUGUGGUUUCAGGAGUUGGUCUGAAACAGCACGUGAAUCCUGGACCAGCUUCCGCUGGUCUGGCCCCUUCAGUGGGUUGUUGAUUGCUUACCUUGAAACGGCACCCGCUUCAACUGGUUUUGCCACCUUGAGGAGGUUGCUGAUUCAUCAAAUCUUGAGUUAUUUUACAAGGACAACCUGGUACCUGUUCAAGACAGAAGCCCACAUCUCCAGGACGACCCCAGAACCAUGAAUCUUCUGUCUGCAGAAACUAAAGAAUAGAAAAGUUGCCGGUGCCACCCUUGACGAGGCGGGAACUCUUUCAAUGGGGAGCAUCUGGCUUCAGCCACAGGGGUAGCAUCUGUGGCCUGACUCAAGACUAGCCAAUCAGCUUCCCCAACUCCUUGAACUCCACCCAGCCUCUGGAUGGAGGAGACAGGUUGGAGAGCCUUGCUUCUGGGCUCCUUGCUGGUUGACCGCACGACAACGCUCUUCCUCUUACUAAAGCUGGUGCCGUGGGUUGGCUUCUGUGCGUGUCCGACGGGGAGCCUCUGCUCGGUGACAAAUCUGACCGUUUCUCAUGUGCCCAGUCGCCUGAGCAUCGGGCGUCUCAGCCAGUACGCCCUCUACACACCCCACUGGCUGCUCAGGAGGUCUGAGAUGUGUGUCCCCGAGGGAUGACGGAACGCUGGUGCUAUUUUUCAUCAGGCUGUUGUGCAGGAUCCCUCUUCGUCCACCGGACGCAAAGGUGUGGGGUCAGGAGAUGCAAACUAGGACACGGAGAAUGGAUGAGCAAAGAGGUCCUGCUGUCCCACACAGGGAACUCUGUCCAGUCUCUUGGGAUAGACCAGGAUGGAAGAUGAUAAGAGAAAAAGAAGCACCUGCCUGGAUUGGGUGUAAAGGAUCCUGAGAGCGACAGCUUGUGACGUCCUCCUGAGUGAUGCUGAGGUGAUGCAGUCCCGUCGUCUUCAGCCUGCAAAGCCAUCUUGCCCAAGAAGCCCCAUUCCCGGGGCAUCCGGCCAUACGAGAAAGGCUGCCAGGGCUAAAGACGUUACAGACGAAGCACCUACCUUCCUGAAGCCUGUGACUCCCGACGGCGUCCCUGGAGGACGUCCCGGCGUGAAGGCUGGACGCUGUCCUGUACGGGGCUCCAUCCACACGGCCUUUCCUGCUUCUCAAGGCUCCGUCUUGAGACCUGCCUGGGCACAUCCACACUUGUGGAGCCAGAGGCAGCCUCAGGGUCUGAACGCUGGCACCUGUCUGUGGAGCAGCCGGGAUUCCUCGGGGAAAAGAGAAACAGGUUCCGAUUAUUUUAGGUACUGAUGUGGCCGUGACUGCAGCAUGUGGAAGUUCCCAGACUAUAGGGGUUGAAUCGGAGCUGCAGCUGCCCGUCUACACCGCAGCCAUGUGGGAUCCAAGCCACUUCUGUGACCUACACCACAGCUCACGACAGAGGCCAGAUCCUUAACCCAGGGAGUCCCCAUACCUCUCAUGAGAAGAUCUCCUGAGCAGUUCCCUGAGGCCGACGGAAAGGGGAACUGCCUGGGCGGACACCGGUCUCGCUGGGAAACUGAUGGUUGGUUCCGACGUGGCAGCGGCUUUGAGAGUUUUUAGAGAUUCCCCGAGAGAAAUCACUCUCUGCCAUCAAAUGACCACAGCAGAAUGACCGCAGUGCUCACAGCGCUAAGACUUCCCGCGAAGCCGUCUGCUCUGCUCCUGGGACGUCAGGUCAUAGGAGCUGGAAGGACCUCGCCGUCUCGGUGACAGUGACUACAAUUGGGAUUAACUUUCGGAGCAGAUGCUCGAUGGCUGCCUCCCACCUCUGUCACUGACGACUUACUUUCCAGGCAACCUCCCACCCUGGGUGCACGUGCCCACUGCCCUGCACGGAUGCACACAUGCAGACACAGACAUGUACAGAGAUGACACAUACACACCUGUACACACACGCUCACAUAAAGACACACUUGUAGACACAUGCAUACACAAAACAUACAACAUGGGCAGACAUGCACAGACACGCAGAAACAGAUACACACAUGCACAAAGACUCACACAUAACGCACAAGACCACACCCUCACACGGACACCCCUGUGCACACAGUGAGUUCUCUAGAAUCCAAAAACCACUCUCCUGCCUUCUCUUUAACCAAGUUCAAAAACUACAGAUUUAUGUCCUUUCAUUUUUCUGAAUUGAAAAUACAACCAACAGUUCCCAGGUUCAGAUG